UUUUUCAAGCCCCAGAAUCAUCUGGUCGCCCUUCACCAGACUGAUUGCACAGCAGCAAUAUCUUCUUAUAACGUGGUGACUAUAAUGUUCAAUGUUCCCUUGUCGCCCAGCCUGAGGUGGAGCAGGAGAGAGAGGCAUGACAGGAGAAGGAAGAGAAGGGAUUUGAAAACCUCAGUGACUUCAAUUUUAAUGGCAGGUACAUGUGCAAUCUAUGUUUUUUCUUUCCAGUAUUUCACUUUCGCAUUCUAAUACUAAAAAAAAAA
Non-coding RNA from Lepisosteus oculatus (spotted gar), 263 nucleotides. The record is from RefSeq and is a predicted model, not a curated record. Lineage: Eukaryota; Metazoa; Chordata; Actinopteri; Semionotiformes; Lepisosteidae.